GUUUGAUCCUGGCUCAGGAUGAACGCUGGCGGCGUGCCUAAUACAUGCAAGUCGAACGUGACUUCCCGAUUUCGAUUGGGGAUGAAAGUGGCGUCCGGGUGAGGAACACGUAGCUGACCUGCCCUUGGCCGGGGGAUAACUCCGCGAAAGCGGGGCUAAUACCGCGUAAGCUCAAUGAGAUUAGAGGCUCGUUGAGGAAAGUUAAGGCGGCGAAGGAGGGGGCUGCGAUCCAUCAGCUAGCUGGUGCGGUAACGGCGCACCAGGGCAACGACGGAUAGGGGACCUGAGAGGGUGACCCCCCACACUGGAACUGAAACACGGUCCAGACUCCUACGGGAGGCAGCAGUAAGGAAUAUUGCGCAAUGGGCGAAGGCCUGACGCAGCAACGCCGCGUGCGGGAUGAAGGUCUUCGGAUCGUAAACCGCUUUUCUGCGGGAAGAAGAUGACGGUACCGCAGGAAGAAGUCUCGGCUAACUACGUGCCAGCAGCCGCGGUAAAACGUAGGAGGCAAGCGUUAUCCGGAUUUACUGGGCGUAAAGCGCGUGCAGGUGGUUGCUUAAGUCGUGCGUGAAAGCUCCCAGGCUCAACCGGGAGAGGACGUGCGAAACUGGGGAACUAGAGACAGGUAGAGGCAAGUAGAAUUCCGGGUGUAGUGGUGAAAUGCGUAGAGAUCCGGAGGAAUACCAGUGGCGAAGGCGGCUUGCUGGAUCUGGACUGACACUCAGACGCGAAAGCAUGGGUAGCGAACGGGAUUAGAAACCCCGGUAGUCCAUGCCGUAAACGAUGUCGACUAGGCGUUCGUCUCGCAAGAGGGGAGUGCCGAAGCCAACGCGAUAAGUCGACCGCCUGGGGAGUACGGCCGCAAGGUUAAAACUCA
Molecule: ribosomal RNA, 877 nt
Filed under: uncultured bacterium
Lineage: Bacteria
Description: bacterial SSU rRNA
Rfam family: Bacterial small subunit ribosomal RNA
Source: RNAcentral